Helicoverpa armigera (cotton bollworm) is the source of this 864-nucleotide long non-coding RNA. RefSeq lists it as uncharacterized. NCBI's taxonomy places the organism in Eukaryota, Metazoa, Arthropoda, Insecta, Lepidoptera, Noctuidae. The transcript has 3 exons. The record is from RefSeq and is a predicted model, not a curated record.
UCAAAUAGGUUUUUCUUAAAACUAGUUUUUGUAAACUGCAGCAGCAUACUUGGAUGCAUUUUAUUUCAUUGUCACUCUUGCUGCGUUGAUAGAAACAAGUCAGUGGAAAAAUAUAACGUUUGAGAGUACCAUUAUUGGUUUUGGUGAAAAUGAGGAUCUAUGGCAAUUAUACUGAUGUAACCUUAGAAACUCCUUGGAGCGGGAACUGCGUGCCUGGCUGCGACUGUCACGACAUCUACACUGAUCAUACCUGUAUGAAAUAAACUGCUCUGGAAAUGUCUACUGAAAUUGAGUUUGGAAUGAGUAAGAAAUAAUUAGGUAUUUAUUUUAAUAUUAUGUUGUAACUUGGAGAGAAAAAUAAAAAGAACAAAUAAUGACGUGAACUUUUAAUUUUAAUACAAUAAUAACGAAAUAUGUCAAAGUUUUAUAUUCUAAGUAUAGUAUUAUUUUCGUACAAAAUACUGGCCCUGAAAAACGGCAAAUCGGAAAACAUGAUAGUAAAUUAAUACUUUUUUUUAUUGUAAAAUUACACUUAGCGAUUCAAUAGCUUAAGUAUGUAUAUUUUCAAACAAUACAAAGUCAAAUGUGACUGGAAACAGUAAUAACAUAAGAUUACAAAAAUACGCUUAUAAAAUACUGUUAAACAUCAGAAUUAAUUGCAUAAUUACCCAGUUAUUGAAAGAAGAGAUAUCUGAACUUAUGCAUGACAAAGGCAAAACGUUUCGUUGAAUGUAACACAAUCAAUUUGCAAUUUUAUUACCUAGUAUUUAAUCAGAUGUUUUCAAGCAGACAUUAAAACCAAUAAGUUACCGUGACUUCAAUUUUCUUUCAAGUUCAUUUCAGCAUUAAUUUUGAAUUGAAAAA